This 285-nucleotide long non-coding RNA is filed under the name Elaeis guineensis (African oil palm). RNAcentral describes it as "long non-coding RNA (EGUI_LNC049167)". Lineage: Eukaryota; Viridiplantae; Streptophyta; Magnoliopsida; Arecales; Arecaceae. The record is from RNAcentral.
GUCAAUAGUUAAAUAGUUAGUUAAGUAAUUAUAGUUAGUUAAUUAGCAGUUUAGAUAUUUAUAAGAAUUAAUUAGUAAUAUAGAAUAUAAGAUAAAAUUUAGUUUAAAAUAGAAAUUAGAAUAGUUAACAUUUUCUAUGAUCCUUUAGGUAAUAUAUAGUUAUUUAGUAUACAUUUAGAUAAUAGACUGAGUAAUAGUUAGCCGAUUCUCUCUAUAUAUUAAAAUGGAUGAAGAUAUUGAAGUCUAUGAGGAUAUUAAAGCUUAUGAUAUAGAGAAUUGGGAACA